This 501-nucleotide ribosomal RNA is filed under the name uncultured bacterium. RNAcentral describes it as "bacterial SSU rRNA". It matches the Rfam family "Bacterial small subunit ribosomal RNA", at positions 30 to 524 of the family's 1533-position model. The record is from RNAcentral.
AUUGAACGCUGGCGGCAUGCCUUACACAUGCAAGUCGAACGGCAGCACGGGAGCAAUCCUGGUGGCGAGUGGCGAACGGGUGAGUAAUAUAUCGGAACGUGCCCAGUCGUGGGGGAUAACGUAGCGAAAGCUACGCUAAUACCGCAUACGAUCUACGGAUGAAAGCGGGGGAUCGCAAGACCUCGCGCGAUUGGAGCGGCCGAUAUCAGAUUAGCUAGUUGGUGGGGUAAAAGCUCACCAAGGCGACGAUCUGUAGCUGGUCUGAGAGGACGACCAGCCACACUGGGACUGAGACACGGCCCAGACUCCUACGGGAGGCAGCAGUGGGGAAUUUUGGACAAUGGGGGCAACCCUGAUCCAGCCAUGCCGCGUGCGGGAAGAAGGCCUUCGGGUUGUAAACCGCUUUUGUCAGGGAAGAAACGCUCUGGGUUAAUACCCCGGGGUAAUGACGGUACCUGAAGAAUAAGCACCGGCUAACUACGUGCCAGCAGCCGCGGUAAU